Cyprinus carpio (common carp) is the source of this 456-nucleotide non-coding RNA. NCBI's taxonomy places the organism in Eukaryota, Metazoa, Chordata, Actinopteri, Cypriniformes, Cyprinidae. The record is from the annotation of a RefSeq genome assembly.
AAUUAUGGAGCAUAAAAUCUUGGGGUUUACAUUACUGUUGCUGGCUUCUCAAUAUUGUUGGUGUCAAACACUGACUGAGUCUGAGGCUCCAGUCAUGAAACCUGGAGAAUCCCAUAAACUGACAUGCACUGCCUCUGGUUUGGACAUGGCUAGCUACCGAAUGGCUUGGAUCAGACAGAAGUCUGGAAAAGAGCUGGAAUGGCUGGCAGCGAUCAGCUAUGAUAGCCAGUAUAUAUACUACUCUCAGUCUGUUCAAGGACGGUUCACCAUCUCCAGAGACAACAGUAGGAAGCAGGUGUAUCUGCAGAUGAACAGCCUGAAGAAUGAAGACACUGCUGUAUAUUAUUGUGCAAGAGACACAGUGACUGAAAUGACUACAGCACUGUGCACAAAACCUGCCAAGACAGUAGACAGAUAAGACAUUUUUACACAAAAUAGUGAUGAGCUAGAAAACAG